Molecule: ribosomal RNA, 253 nt
Filed under: uncultured bacterium
Lineage: Bacteria
Description: partial 16S ribosomal RNA
Rfam family: Bacterial small subunit ribosomal RNA
Source: RNAcentral
GACAGAGGGGGCAAGCGUUGCUCGGAAUCACUGGGCGUAAAGGGCGCGUAGGCGGGAUGGCAAGUCAGUCGUGAAAUCUCUCGGCUCAACCGAGAAACGUCGGCUGAUACUGCCGUUCUUGAGGGAUGCAGAGGAGACUGGAAUUCCCGGUGUAGCGGUGAAAUGCGUAGAGAUCGGGAGGAACACCAGCGGCGAAGGCGGCGACCCGGACAAGUACUGACACUCAACUGCGAAAGCGUGGGGAGCAAACAGG